Molecule: long non-coding RNA, 840 nt
Organism: Xyrauchen texanus (razorback sucker)
Lineage: Eukaryota; Metazoa; Chordata; Actinopteri; Cypriniformes; Catostomidae
Exons: 3
Source: RefSeq, a predicted model, not a curated record
UGUAGUUCAUCUCCUAAUGGCUCACUUCGCAGAAAGCCAACAAGGACACAUCCUUCAACAAAACGUACGUUUAUAUUCAUAUUCAUACACAGUAUUUAUUGUUUUACAGUAUGAACAGCUGUUAAGAGUGGAAUAUGCCUGUCUUCAGAAUAUCAACAACAACUAGCACUUUCAGCUUUUUAUUUAUUCGUUUUUAAUCUGCAGUUACAGUCAGUCAUCUCAAAUUGUUAUCUUUGCCAUUAAAUGUCUGCCACUCCAGCUGACAUUUAGAAGAUGGGUAAUCUACCUGUGACCCUGCUUGGUCAAGGCGAUAUACUUGGGUAAUGGAUGAAAAAAUGGUUGGUCAGCAUUGAAGGCCGAAUAAUCUGCGAGUGUGUGCAGACAACUUUUCUCACUGGACUUGCCAGGAGGAAGCAUCCACACUGGAAGUCUUUAGAAGACGAUUCAGUGAAAUAAAUGCUGAGAAGGGGACUAAGGCUGUGUGGAGAUAAGUUGUGUCUAACUGGAAAAACAGUGCAAAAAACCCCAAAACAAACAGCGACCGUCAAUCCAAAGGUAACUGACGAGGUAGAAGAGCUGAGAGGCUUUAAAUGGGACUUUAUUUAAAAUGGAGCUGAAACUCCCCAACUCCCCAAAAUGUGUUUUUUUGUGGGGGGGUGGGUAUUGUAUCGUGUUGAAGCCUAAUUUUUAUGUCGAUUUGUACGCCAUUUUUGUAUUUUGGUUUGUUGACAGUGCUCUUAUUUUGUAGCAACACAGUGGUUGCAUUGAUUAUUAACUGUAUCUGUUUCAUCACGUUUUUUUUUUCGAGUCUUUUUCAUUGACUUUGUUUCAAUUUUGUAA